UACGUAGGGACCGAGCGUUGUCCGGAAUCAUUGGGCGUAAAGAGCGUGUAGGCGGCUAUUUAAGUCCUGCGUGAAAUCCUGCGGCUCAACCGCAGACGGUCGUGGGAAACUGGAUGGCUAGAGUGCGGGAGAGGAGAGUGGAAUUCCCGGUGUAGCGGUGAAAUGCGCAGAUAUCUGGAGGAACACCGGUGGUGUAAACGGCUUUCUGGACCAUAACUGACACUGAGGCACGAAAGCGUGGGUAGCAAACAGG
RNAcentral lists this ribosomal RNA (253 nucleotides) under uncultured bacterium. Its description in RNAcentral is "partial 16S ribosomal RNA". It matches the Rfam family "Bacterial small subunit ribosomal RNA", at positions 524 to 776 of the family's 1533-position model. The record is from RNAcentral.